CACUCCUGCGGGAGGCAGCAGUGGGGAAUAUUGGACAAUGGGCGCAAGCCUGAUCCAGCCAUGCCGCGUGAGUGAUGAAGGCCCUAGGGUUGUAAAGCUCUUUCACCGGUGAAGAUAAUGACGGUAACCGGAGAAGAAGCCCCGGCUAACUUCGUGCCAGCAGCCGCGGUAAUACGAAGGGGGCUAGCGUUGUUCGGAUUUACUGGGCGUAAAGCGCACGUAGGCGGACUAUUAAGUCAGGGGUGAAAUCCCGGGGCUCGACCCCGGAACUGCCUUUGAUACUGGUAGUCUUGAGUUCGGGAGAGGUGAGUGGAAUUCCGAGUGUAGAGGUGAAAUUCGUAGAUAUUCGGAGGAACACCAGUGGCGAAGGCGGCUCACUGGCUCGAUACUGACGCUGAGGUGCGAAAGCGUGGGGAGCAAACAGGAUUAGAAACCCUAGUAGUCCCAUG
This 449-nucleotide ribosomal RNA is filed under the name uncultured organism. Its description in RNAcentral is "partial 16S ribosomal RNA". It matches the Rfam family "Bacterial small subunit ribosomal RNA", at positions 334 to 799 of the family's 1533-position model. The record is from RNAcentral.